This 438-nucleotide long non-coding RNA is filed under the name Serinus canaria (Common canary). RNAcentral's name for it is "lncRNA (ENSSCAG00000001139.1)". The record is from RNAcentral. Lineage: Eukaryota; Metazoa; Chordata; Aves; Passeriformes; Fringillidae.
GGGAUUUCUCACAUGAGGUUUUCUUCUCUCUUUUGGUCUCUAACUGAGGCACAGGUGCUGUUCCUGCUCCAAGGGCCGCUCCCUCGCCUCCUCCCACCUGUGUGAGCAGCCCAGGUGCCCGGCAGGAUCUGGCACUGCCCCAGGGUCUGCCCGGCCCUGCCGGUGCGGCUGCUUUCUCUGGAGCUGCCUCUGCAGGGCGCUGCUCUUUGUGCACAAGUCAAGCAAAAGAACAGUCUGCAGCUCCCUGACUCUGCCAGCACAGAGGAGUCCUGGCCUGGAGGAUUGGGUGGCUCAAGGGGCCAAGCAGAGCUUUCCACUCGAUCGAUCCCAGCUCUGCUGAAGCCGUCUCUGCCUCAGCUGGGAGGAGCCGUGACUCCAGGAGUACUGGCUUGCUCUUUUCUCAUUUUGGGGGAUUCUCAGCAUGGGCAGGAGGGCUGA